RNAcentral lists this ribosomal RNA (488 nucleotides) under Pimelia simplex. Its description in RNAcentral is "partial large subunit ribosomal RNA". It matches the Rfam family "Bacterial large subunit ribosomal RNA", at positions 1851 to 2597 of the family's 2925-position model. Lineage: Eukaryota; Metazoa; Arthropoda; Insecta; Coleoptera; Tenebrionidae. The record is from RNAcentral.
AGUCUGGCCUGCCCAAUGAUUUUUGAAUGGCCGCAGUAUUUUGACUGUGCAAAGGUAGCAUAAUCAUUAGUUUUUUGAUUGAAAGCUGGAAUGAAAGGUUUGAUGAGAAAAUGACUGUCUCUGAGUUAAUGUUUUAGAAUUUCAAUUUUAAGUUAAAAAGCUUAAAUUUUUUAUAAAGACGAGAAGACCCUAUAGAGUUUUAUAUUUUUCUUUAUUUAGUGAUUAAGGGUUUUAUUUUUUUAUAUACGGAAGAAUAUUUUGUUGGGGUGAUGGAAAAAUUUGAUAAACUUUUUUUUGUUUGUUACAUUAAUAUAUGAUUUUUUGAUCCUUAUUUUUGGAUUAUAAGAUUAAAUUACCUUAGGGAUAACAGCGUAAUUUUUUUUGGAGAGUUCUUAUCGAUAAAAAAGUUUGCGACCUCGAUGUUGGAUUAAAAUUAAAUUUUGGUGUAGAAGCUAAAAAUUUUAGGUCUGUUCGACCUUUAAAAUUUU